GGCCAGAGAUCGGUUCUCUGCCACCCACAGCGUGCCAAUUGAAGAGUUAAUUAAUUAGCAGGACAGGCUGUGGGGUAGUGGGGUGCAUGUCCUCCAUGUUGUCUGCUGGAGGAGGACCCUGGUGAUGCAGGGGGGUGAAGACUGCCAGGUCUGCACCCAGCAUCCCCGUGAGACAUGGGUGCCACCCCGCUGCCUGCACCCCCCAGGUGUGGAAGCGCUCCGGUGCCUGGUUCUUCAAGGGUUUGCCCAAGCAAGUGCUGCCUCAGCCGAUGCCCGUCAGCAAGAACAAGGGACCCCAACCUCCGAGCGAGCCCGGCCCAUCAGAGCUGCCCACCCAGGACCCGAAACUCCCCUCCCGUGCGCCCACCCGAGGCCAGGUGGACGCUAGGCCCCCGGCCGAGCAGGACUCCGAUGGCAGUGACGUGACGGCGGCUGCCCAGGGGAGCUCCGCGGUGCCCGGCCGCAGGCUGGCCGAGGGCAGGCCGGGCCCGUGCGGCAGCGAGCACGCUGGCGGGGACGCCGACAGCCGUGAUUACGCUGCCGAGAGCGGGGUCAGCAGGAGCCCUGGUGAGAGCUACGCUUCUGCACGCUUCUGCGUGCUUGGAGGGAGAGGGCUGGGGGGCACGAAGCCAGGAGCUGUACAGGGGUUGUCUGCGCUCCAUGUGAUGCUGAGGGAUUUCGCAUUGCAGAGCACCCGUGUCUGAUGUUUUACGCUGCUCCGUGGGGUU
RNAcentral lists this long non-coding RNA (728 nucleotides) under Strix occidentalis caurina (northern spotted owl). RNAcentral's name for it is "lncRNA (ENSSOCG00000006168.1)". The record is from RNAcentral. Lineage: Eukaryota; Metazoa; Chordata; Aves; Strigiformes; Strigidae.